CCAGUUCCUUUGUUUGGUUUUUGCUGCGUCGUGAAUAAUGGCGGGACGACGUCUCGCGUUCAACUCGCCUUCAACUCCUCUCCGCGGUCAGCAACUUUCGGCCAGUCCGCAGACAGACGAGAAGAAACUGCUGAAUGCUCUCAGUGGAUCGUCUCGUCAACUCCAACAACAAACUGCCGAUAUCAACGAGCGGUUCGUUUUACGAAUUACAGGCAAGGGUACAAGGACUAAUCUCGCCUCAUAAUGAGGCGGUGACCUUGUAUUUGCUCCGGGAAAAGUCCAGAUUUAGGCGACGUCAUUGUGUCCGCCUGUAGGACGUAUUUUGAGACGGUACACGGGAGCUUCAGGUUUUCCCAGCCGGAACACUCAUUGCGGGCGGAAGCUGCGAAGGAUUCAGCGCGGAGUCGAGCGAGAAGAAAGAGGCUGCUGGAAUCGAGACAAAGUGUGCUGGCUGAUGACGAGGUGGAACUCUGGAAAUCCGCCACCGUGAUGCUCACGUCGGACGGAGAGGAUGGCGUUGUUGGCGGGGUCUCGGGGGGGAUUGUACGGUCGCCGCCAUUUCUGAGUGCAGUCCCGGUUAGAGGCGACUCAGCAGAGGUGUCAAAAGUAUUCACAUUCAUUACUCAAGUACAAGUACAGAUACUAGGUUUUAAAAAGACUCCUGUAGAAGUUGAAGUAUCGACUCAAGCUAUAUAUAUAUAUAUAUAUA
Long non-coding RNA from Gasterosteus aculeatus aculeatus (three-spined stickleback), 709 nucleotides. The record is from Ensembl. Lineage: Eukaryota; Metazoa; Chordata; Actinopteri; Perciformes; Gasterosteidae.